This 255-nucleotide ribosomal RNA is filed under the name uncultured bacterium. RNAcentral's name for it is "partial 16S ribosomal RNA". It matches the Rfam family "Bacterial small subunit ribosomal RNA", at positions 524 to 776 of the family's 1533-position model. The record is from RNAcentral.
UACGUAGGGUGCAAGCGUUAAUCGGAAUUACUGGGCGUAAAGCGUGCGCAGGCGGUCUUGCAAGACAGAUGUGAAAUCCCCGGGCUCAACCGUGGGAACUUGACAUUUGUGACUGCAAGGCUGGAGUACGGUAGAGGGGGAUGGAAUUCCGCGUGUAGCAGUGAAAUGCGUAGAUAUGCGGAGGACACCGAUGGCGAAGGCAAUCCCCUGGACCUGUACUGACGCUCAUGCACGAAAGCGUGGGGAGCAAACAGG